AGUGAACGCUGGCGGUAGGCCUAACACAUGCAAGUCGAACGGCAGCACAGUAAGAGCUUGCUCUUACGGGUGGCGAGUGGCGGACGGGUGAGGAAUACAUCGGAAUCUACUUUUUCGUGGGGGAUAACGUAGGGAAACUUACGCUAAUACCGCAUACGACCUACGGGUGAAAGCAGGGGAUCUUCGGACCUUGCGCGAUUGAAUGAGCCGAUGUCGGAUUAGCUAGUUGGCGGGGUAAAGGCCCACCAAGGCGACGAUCCGUAGCUGGUCUGAGAGGAUGAUCAGCCACACUGGAACUGAGACACGGCCCAGACUCCUACGGGAGGCAGCAGUGGGGAAUAUUGGACAAUGGGCGCAUGCCUGAUCCAGCCAUACCGCGUGGGUGAAGAAGGCCUUCGGGUUGUAAAGCCCUUUUGUUGGGAAAGAAAAGCAGCAGGUUAAUACCCCGCUGUUCUGACGGUACCCAAAGAAUAAGCACCGGCUAACUUCGUG
Molecule: ribosomal RNA, 492 nt
Filed under: uncultured bacterium
Lineage: Bacteria
Description: partial 16S ribosomal RNA
Rfam family: Bacterial small subunit ribosomal RNA
Source: RNAcentral